RNAcentral lists this long non-coding RNA (199 nucleotides) under Lathyrus oleraceus (garden pea). RNAcentral's name for it is "Pisum sativum (pea) long non-coding RNA (PSAT_LNC004742)". The record is from RNAcentral. Lineage: Eukaryota; Viridiplantae; Streptophyta; Magnoliopsida; Fabales; Fabaceae.
UGAACAUUAUCAUUUUGACAGUAGCUGCAAUAGACACUUGAUAGUAGAAAUAAACCAUAUUACAUUUUGUGAUAUCAAUAAGAGAAGGAAAUUUGUAAAGAUGAAUAUGGUUGUUACCACUGUAGAGUAGAAUGUUGAAGAUCAUAUUUCACACAUCAUGGAUGAUAUGUUAGAAACAAAAGCUAAGCUUGGAAUUGCA